Long non-coding RNA from Scylla paramamosain (green mud crab), 793 nucleotides. RefSeq lists it as uncharacterized. The record is from RefSeq and is a predicted model, not a curated record. The transcript is spliced from 2 exons. Lineage: Eukaryota; Metazoa; Arthropoda; Malacostraca; Decapoda; Portunidae.
CAUAUUUGGAAAAAAAGAAAUGUAACUGAAGACAACAUUUUACUUGACAAGUCUCACCUUCUACCACUGCAGUGACACGACAACCUGCAGUGAAGGCCAGGAAAGCCGCUGCUGCCUGGCAGGUAUAUAUGGCGGCGCCAGGCAAGGGAGGCAAGUCACUUUGGCGACUCAGUCAGCAGUGAGCACCAUGAGAGUCUUCGCAGUUGCCCUCGGCUUCAGCGUCUUGCUGGCCUCCUGCAGCGCCGGCAUUAUCUACGGCGGCCAUGGCGGUGGCGGGCAUGGUGGAGUCACCACCAGGGUGGUUGUGUCUGGCGGCCACGGUGGCGGUGGCGGCGGAUUCGGUGGUGGAUUCGGCGGCGGCUACGGUGGUGGCGGAUUUGGUGGUGGAUUUGGUGGUGGAUUCGGCGGCGGCUACGGCGGCGGCGGUGCUGGUGGCGGGCACAUUGGUGGAAUCACGAGGGUGGUUCAUGUCUCCUCUGGACGCUACGGCGGCGGCGGCGGUAUUGGUGGCGGCGGCAUUGGCGGCGGCUUCAUCGGCGGCGGCGGCGGCGGCGGCGGCUAUUACGGCAAAUAAGGUUCCCAGACUGUUUCAUCGACAACACACUUGUGUCUUAAACGACCUCGACCACCUGUACAUAACACACUGCUGCUCCUCCUCCUCACACAGGCGCGUUGCCCCGGCACCACCAGAGCGCCACGCACACAAGUGGUAGUGGAGGUCAGGCAUGCAUCCAAAACAAACGCCUGAGAAACAACUCUGUAGGUAAACACACAAUGAAAUGAUUGCAGCAUA